This is a long non-coding RNA of Dioscorea cayenensis subsp. rotundata (Guinea yam), 1166 nucleotides long. RefSeq lists it as uncharacterized. NCBI's taxonomy places the organism in Eukaryota, Viridiplantae, Streptophyta, Magnoliopsida, Dioscoreales, Dioscoreaceae. The record is from RefSeq and is a predicted model, not a curated record. The transcript has 4 exons.
GCCCCUCUUUAAAAGCGCGAGAAGGACCACCACGCACGAAGCCCUUGCCAUGGAUCUCACCGAGAGUGCUCGCCGAUCCUUUUGUCCCCAGCUUCCUGUACACCUCCUCAUCCUCGAGAUCGCUAGCCCGUGGCGGAUCGUUCUUGGUCCAGGCUCCCAACGAGCCGCUCAGGACCGAAAUGUACUCUCCGAUGUUCUAUGCGGCUUACACCGCCGGCGGAAUCGCGAGAUGUGGGCUGACGCACAUGGCUGUCACUCGUGAAGUGCAACAUGCCGAUUACUUCAACAAAGUACAAGAGCAUCUCAUCUGGGGUUAGGGUCAUGCUAAAAGAGCAAGGCUUGAGAGGUUCCUUUAAGGACUGGCUGCCUACCUUGCUGGGGUAUAGUGCUCCGGGUGCUUACAAAUUUGGAUUCUAUGACAUCUUUUAGAAGUACUACUCUGGUAUAGCUGGUCCUGAAUAUGCUGUAUCUACCUUAUGGGGUUUGCAUCUGCUGAAGUAAUCACUCCAUGGAGGCUUUGAAGGUCUGUGUUCAGACACGGCCAAGAUUUGCUGGGGCCCUGUCAAAUGAAGGUUCCUUGGGGGUUGUAUAAAGGGCUGGUUCCACUUUGGGGUUGUCAGAUUCCUUAUAUAAUUUCUCUGCAAUGUAAACUUUCUGAAGUUGGAUACUUACCUGCCCAGCAUGCAAAUAACCUUGAAACACAUUUCUCCUCGUGAUGCCCUACUUUCGAAUCUAUUGUUGCAUGGUUUUACGCGAAUCUUUGUCCAACUUUAAGAUAUAUAUAUUUCAUUUUUUAGUGGAUUGGUGAACACCAAUCACAUAUUUCAGCUGUCUUUCCACCUUGUCAAUCACAUAUCUCUAUUGGUUUCCACCUGGCUUUUUAAGGAUGUAACUUUUGGCUCUGAUGAAAUUCAUGUACUUAUUAUCUUUGACUUUUGUCCCAUCUCCUUGUUCUUGGUAAUGGCAUAAGGGCAUCAUUUGGAUAUAUCCUUGUCUGUCUGGUUUCAAAUUGUUAGAAAGAUGCUAUUAGGUGGCUUGUAAGUAUGUUGCAAAAUGUCUGAUGACAGUGUGGGCAAUAGCAUGAAUAUUAGCUGGGCCUGAUAUAUUUUCUUGAUUCAAUCCAGAAAACAUUCCUACAAUUGUAACAUAAGCAAUGAUUAUAUAUU